ACUCCUACGGGAGGCAGCAGUGGGGAAUUUUGGACAAUGGGCGAAAGCCUGAUCCAGCAAUGCCGCGUGUGUGAAGAAGGCCUUCGGGUUGUAAAGCACUUUUGUCCGGAAAGAAAUCCUUGGCUCUAAUACAGUCGGGGGAUGACGGUACCGGAAGAAUAAGCACCGGCUAACUACGUGCCAGCAGCCGCGGUAAUACGUAGGGUGCGAGCGUUAAUCGGAAUUACUGGGCGUAAAGCGUGCGCAGGCGGUUUGCUAAGACCGAUGUGAAAUCCCCGGGCUCAACCUGGGAACUGCAUUGGUGACUGGCAGGCUAGAGUAUGGCAGAGGGGGGUAGAAUUCCACGUGUAGCAGUGAAAUGCGUAGAGAUGUGGAGGAAUACCGAUGGCGAAGGCAGCCCCCUGGGCCAAUACUGACGCUCAUGCACGAAAGCGUGGGGAGCAAACAGGAUUAGAAACCCGGGUAGUCCCAUGAU
This 475-nucleotide ribosomal RNA is filed under the name uncultured organism. RNAcentral describes it as "partial 16S ribosomal RNA". It matches the Rfam family "Bacterial small subunit ribosomal RNA", at positions 335 to 801 of the family's 1533-position model. The record is from RNAcentral.